UUUCAUCUAAACUGCCGCUCCCUUCGCUGGACCAUCACGAGAGCGGACGUUUCCUUUUCCCUGCAUCCCGUUCUCUCCCCAGGCGGCGGCGGUCCGAUGUGGCCGCCGGAGGCGACGUUGGCGGGACGUCUGGCCGGCGACGGGAGUGGAUCAACGAGAUCGAGCCGCUCUGGGACGGAAUCGACUCGAUCCCUGUCCACUUCCCUUCUUCGCAGGAGACGGGGACACGAGCGGUGGCGGCCCGAUGUGGCCAGCAGGAGGAGAUGGCGGCGGCAACUCCCGGCCGGAGAUAGGAGCAGCUCCAAGUGGUCGAGUUGAUCUGGUCCACGACCGACUUGUUCCUGGUCUCCAUCCUUUCUUCCCAGUCAAUGGUAGCUCGUUAGGAGGACCCGUCGGAGGCUGCAGCGGUCGGCCGGCGGCAUGGACGGGAACAAUGAAAUCCGACGACUUGGAGCCAUUCACUCAGUUGGAUGAUGAGGCUUGGAUGGGGAGGUCAAUGAUGUCUCUGAUUGCUGGUACACAACAGAGUGUCAACUUUGAAGAUUGUGUGCAUGAUCAAGUGAAAGGAGAACAAUUUUUGGAGGUGGAGGAAGGGUCGGAUGAGGAAUCAGAAUCUGAUGUGGAGCCUUUUAUUGUGCAUUGCGAAGGAGAUUCAGAUGUGGAUGAACUUUAUCCAACUCCCACUUAUGAAGAACUUGUUGCAGAAGAGGCACCAAAGUCGAAGGAAGAAUUACAGAAGGAAAGUAAAGUGAAGCAAGCUAAAUGAAGGGCAAUGAUGACAAGGAAAGUGAAAAAGAGGGCAGCUGAUUAUGCAGCAGGUGUAGAAGAUAAAGGCCUGACCUUUAGUGAUCAAGACAACGAAGAUUGCAAGAAUCUUUCAGAUUCUAGUGAUGACGAUGGAGUUGUCCCUAAAACAAGCUUGUCUGUCACUUAGAGGAAGAGUAGAUCAAAUAAUGCAGAAGAGAAUCUACUAUGAUGAGUAAAGGAAAAAUGCACAUGAUCAAAUAUGCUUGCACAUGUGUUUUGUUGAUGUGCAUCAAUGCAGAAGGGCGCUUGUGAACCACCACAUCCAUAACUGCCGCAACUACGAAUUUCUUGAAAAUACACCUAGCAGAAUAGUAGUUUGCUGCAAGUUAAAUGGUACAUGUCCAUUCACCAUGACCACAUCAAUUAUCAAAGGCGAGAAGACUCAUUGCAUUCGGCAGCUUGUGAUGCCUCACACAUGUGGCACCACACCAGAAUCUUCAAGGAUAAACAGUGAGUGGAUUAACAACACCUAUGAAGAAGACAUCAAAACUGAUUCGGAUAUGAAAGUGAAAGCUUUGAUAGCCAUGAUAAAGAGACAAUAUGGAGUUAAGGUGUCAAAACACAUGGCCUACAGGGCCAAAAACAUGGCAUUGCAGAAUGUGGAGGGGCAUCUCAAAAGACAAUAUUUCCGUAUAAGGGACUAUCUCCAGACCGUGAUAGACUGCAACCUAGGGAGUCGAUGUGUCGUGCAGACAAUUGUUAAUCCGGAUCCACAAAAGAAUCCUAGGUUCCAUGGUCUCUUUUUUGCGUCCAUGCUCAUAUCGAAGGAUUUCUAGAAGGUUGUCGACCUUUCAUUGGUGUUGAUGGCUGUUUCAUCAAGAUAGCUAAUGGUGCUCAAAUAUUAGCAGCCAUUGGAAGGGACGGCAAUAACAACUUGUACCCACUAGCCUUUGGAGUUGUUGGAAAAGAGGAAACAUCAACAUGGUGCUGGUUUCUCAUGCAACUAAGAUAUGCUCUAGGUGGUGGCACUAGUAAGUCUGGUCAUCCUUUCACAAUCAUGUCAGAUCGUCAAAAAGGCCUCUUAAAUGCAGUUUCUAAAAUAUUUCCUGAAUGUGAGCAAAGAUUUUGCCUUAGGCACAUAUAUGCAAAUUUCCAAUUUUUCUUUAGGGGUUGUUUCAAAUGGCAAUUCACAGGAAUUCCUUGCAAACAUGCAAACGCUGCUAUUUAUGCGAGGCACCAUGACCACCCGGAAGAUCAUGUUUCAGAGUUUUUCAAGAAGCCGUGCUAUCAAAAGGCAUAUCAAGAUAUAAUAUUCCCAGUGCCAGGGCAGCAUGACUGGACCAAAACUGAUACUCCAGGCAUAGAUCCUCCAGUUUUCACUAGGCACCCCGUAAGGAAAAAUAAAUAAAAGGAGAUUGGGUCCUACCGAGACUGGGUAUAAUGGUAGAGGGUAUGUGGCAGCCAUAACAUGCUCAAACUGCAAGCUAAAAGGGCAUAGAUACACCACUUUACCCAGCCGUUGAAAUCCCAUCUUGUUGUCCGAAAACAAAGGCACAAGAGCAACCGAAAGUUCCCUAAUCUAUUUGUGCCCCCGGCUGCAAGUGCACACUCAACUUCAUCUACUACGACACAAGCAUCAAGUGCAUGCCCAACUUCAUCUACUACACCAGAAGCUACAAGAACCUCUGAUGUAAUGCCCCAUGCUCCAGCUUCAGGACACGCACCAUGGAUUCCACCAAGACAAGCUGCUCCAACAUAUGCACCUCCACAGGGACAAAAAAUGGGAGGGGGGUAUCUAAGCUCCGGAUUGUAUAGUUACUUCACUGCAGGUCUUGAUGCCGAGAAUCGGCAAGAAGAAGAAUGAUGUUUAAUGCUACGCUUAGUGACCAAGCAUAUUUCUUUUUUGGACGCAUGUGCGAAGAGACGCAAAUUUUGUAAAUAUUUCUAUGAGCCAUGAUGGUGAUCCGAAUGGGAUCAUAUUAUUGUUGUCA
Molecule: long non-coding RNA, 2738 nt
Organism: Lolium perenne
Lineage: Eukaryota; Viridiplantae; Streptophyta; Magnoliopsida; Poales; Poaceae
Source: RefSeq, a predicted model, not a curated record